This 238-nucleotide ribosomal RNA is filed under the name Streptococcus agalactiae. RNAcentral describes it as "partial 16S ribosomal RNA". It matches the Rfam family "Bacterial small subunit ribosomal RNA", at positions 1 to 229 of the family's 1533-position model. RNAcentral also lists the same sequence under 1 other name. Lineage: Bacteria; Bacillati; Bacillota; Bacilli; Lactobacillales; Streptococcaceae. The record is from RNAcentral.
UUUAAUGAGAGUUUGAUCCUGGCUCAGGACGAACGCUGGCGGCGUGCCUAAUACAUGCAAGUAGAACGCUGAGGUUUGGUGUUUACACUAGACUGAUGAGUUGCGAACGGGUGAGUAACGCGUAGGUAACCUGCCUCAUAGCGGGGGAUAACUAUUGGAAACGAUAGCUAAUACCGCAUAAGAGUAAUUAACACAUGUUAGUUAUUUAAAAGGAGCAAUUGCUUCACUGUGAGAUGGA